UUGCAAAAGGCAAAACAUGGAAAUUCCCUUUCUCAGAUCGAGAGGGGACAUCAGCAAUUUAAGCCCCAAAGCACCCCUAUUUUUUUUUUCAAAAAAGAAAAAGAAAUUCUCCAGCCAACUGAAUGAGGAAGAGAUGUCCCAACUUGCGGCUGGCCAUGGUUAUAGAUUUUAGUACAGCUUUUGGGAUUAAAAUACGGAAUCUAUCGUAAUUUAACCAGCUUCUGCUGCCAAUACCUGUGAGAAGUUUGACCAGUUGGGCACGCUUUUAAGUAUUAGAUCUACUGAAAUAGCAUUGACAGAUAAAUGUUUAGAUGUUUCAGAGACUAUUUUAAAAAGAUGCAUUCACGCAAUUUCAAAUGUUCACAAACUGAAGCUUAUUACUGCAGACCAAACAAAAGAAGGAAUGUACCUCAGGAUGGGCAAUAUUCAUGUUCUAAAAUUGAGAAAGUAGAGGAAAUAGUAAAGGUUCGUGGAGGAAGUACCUUCUGCUUCACCUGAACAUUGCAAGCGUAUCCUCCACAUUUACAGAAACUAAUCCAAAUCAUUUGUUUUUUGCUGUCCCAAAAAUCUCAACUGAGCUUAGUGCCCCACCAUACCACCCAUAUUUCCAAAACACACAACAAUAGGAAAAUGCUUCACUGCCAGCAAUUUACUACAUCAAGUACCUUUCAGAAAAGAAGCCAUUGACAACUAUAACAUCGGCACAUGAAAGGAGGUGACGAAUGACCAGAUAGAUACUUCAAUAAAACGCGUGAAGCUUUGUCAAAAAAAAUGAAAAGUACGAUGCCUUUCUUAUAUGGUGGCAACGUAGGAUAAAUAAAAAUGUAGAUCUUCUUUGCAUAAAAUUUGGAUGCAGAGUUCAGGACUUCAUUUGUACAAGCACAUCCACAUGGAUCAACACAGGCUUGUAUAAAGAGUGGAACCUUUUCUGGCCU
Molecule: long non-coding RNA, 935 nt
Filed under: Elaeis guineensis (African oil palm)
Lineage: Eukaryota; Viridiplantae; Streptophyta; Magnoliopsida; Arecales; Arecaceae
Description: long non-coding RNA (EGUI_LNC015747)
Source: RNAcentral